AGUUUGAUCCUGGCUUAGGAUGAACGCUAGCUACAGGCUUAACACAUGCAAGUCGAGGGGCAGCAUUGGAGUAGCAAUACUCAGAUGGCGACCGGCGCACGGGUGAGUAACACGUAUCCAACCUGCCGCUUACUCGGGGAUAGCCUUUCGAAAGAAAGAUUAAUACCCGAUGGUAUAAAGAGUUCGCAUGUUCUCUUUAUUAAAGAAUUUCGGUAAGCGAUGGGGAUGCGUUCCAUUAGAUAGUUGGCGGGGUAACGGCCCACCAAGUCUACGAUGGAUAGGGGUUCUGAGAGGAAGGUCCCCCACAUUGGAACUGAGACACGGUCCAAACUCCUACGGGAGGCAGCAGUGAGGAAUAUUGGUCAAUGGACGAGAGUCUGAACCAGCCAAAAGUAGCGUGAAGGAUGACUGCCCUAUGGGUUGUAAACUUCUUUUAUAAGGGAAUAAAGUGAGGGACGUGUCCCUUUUUGUAUGUACCUUAUGAAUAAGGAUCGGCUAACUCCGUGCCAGCCGCCGC
Molecule: ribosomal RNA, 517 nt
Filed under: uncultured bacterium
Lineage: Bacteria
Description: bacterial SSU rRNA
Rfam family: Bacterial small subunit ribosomal RNA
Source: RNAcentral